This 540-nucleotide ribosomal RNA is filed under the name uncultured bacterium. RNAcentral's name for it is "bacterial SSU rRNA". It matches the Rfam family "Bacterial small subunit ribosomal RNA", at positions 355 to 896 of the family's 1533-position model. The record is from RNAcentral.
UGAGGAAUAUUGGUCAAUGGAUGAAAAUCUGAACCAGCCAAGUAGCGUGCAGGAUGACGGCCCUAUGGGUUGUAAACUGCUUUUAUGUGAGAAUAAAGUUAGGUAUGUAUACUUAUUUGCAUGUAUCACAUGAAUAAGGACCGGCUAAUUCCGUGCCAGCAGCCGCGGUAAUACGGAAGGUCCAGGCGUUAUCCGGAUUUAUUGGGUUUAAAGGGUGCGUAGGCCGUUUGAUAAGCGUGCUGUGAAAUAUAGUGGCUCAACCUCUAUCGUGCAGCGCGAACUGUCGAACUUGAGUGCGUAGUAGGUAGGCGGAAUUCGUGGUGUAGCGGUGAAAUGCUUAGAUAUCACGAAGAACUCCGAUUGCGAAGGCAGCUUACCGUAACGUUACUGACGCUUAAGCACGAAGGUGCGGGUAUCGAACAGGAUUAGAUACCCUGGUAGUCCGCACAGUAAACGAUGGAUGCUCGCUGUUGGCCUUUAUGGUCAGUGGCUUAGCGAAAGCGUUAAGCAUCCCACCUGGGGAGUACGCCGGCAACGGUG